This 480-nucleotide ribosomal RNA is filed under the name uncultured bacterium. RNAcentral's name for it is "partial 16S ribosomal RNA". It matches the Rfam family "Bacterial small subunit ribosomal RNA", at positions 28 to 507 of the family's 1533-position model. The record is from RNAcentral.
GAUGAACGCUGGCGGCGUGCUUAACACAUGCAAGUCGAACGGAACUACUCCAAUGAGAGUCUUCGGAAAGGAUUUGGUUUAGUUUAGUGGCGGACGGGUGAGUAACGCGUGGGUAACCUGCCCUAUACAGGGGGAUAACAGUUGGAAACGACUGUUAAUACCGCAUAAGCGCACAGGAGCGCAUGCUCCGGUGUGAAAAACUCCGGUGGUAUAGGAUGGACCCGCGUCUGAUUAGCUGGUUGGCGGGGUAACGGCCCACCAAGGCGACGAUCAGUAGCCGGCCUGAGAGGGUGAACGGCCACAUUGGGACUGAGACACGGCCCAAACUCCUACGGGAAGCAGCAGUGGGGAAUAUUGCACAAUGGGGGAAACCCUGAUGCAGCGACGCCGCGUGAGCGAAGAAGUAUCUCGGUAUGUAAAGCUCUAUCAGCAGGGAAGAAAAUGACGGUACCUGACGAAGAAGCCCCGGCUAACUACGUG